AUGGUAGGAUAGAGGCCUACCAUGGUGGUAACGGGUAACGGGGUGUUAGGGCACGACACCGGAGAGGGAGCCUGAGAAACGGCUACCACAUCCAAGGAAGGCAGCAGGCGCGCAAAUUACCCAAUCCCGACACGGGGAGGUAGUGACAAUAAAUAACAAUACAGGGUUCUUUGAAUCUUGUAAUUGGAAUGAGUACAAUUUAAAUCUCUUAACGAGGAACAAUUGGAGGGCAAGUCUGGUGCCAGCAGCCGCGGUAAUUCCAGCUCCAAUAGCGUAUAUUAAAGUUGUUGCAGUUAAAAAGCUCGUAGUUGAAUUUCGGGAUCAAUACGUCGGUCGUGCUUUCGGGUACGUACUGGCGUCAUUGGUUUCUCCUUUCUGACGAACCAUGAUGUCAUUAAUUUGGUGUUAUGGGGAGUUAGGACUGUUACUUUGAAAAAAUUAGAGUGUUUAAAGCAGGCAUUAGCUUGAAUACAUUAGCAUGGAAUAAUGAAAUAGGACGUUCGAUCCUAUUUUGUUGGUUUCUAGGAUCAACGUAAUGAUUAAUAGGGAUAGUUGGGGGCAUUAGUAUUCAAUUGUCAGAGGUGAAAUUCUUGGAUUUAUUGAAGACUAACUACUGCGAAAGCAUUUGCCAAGGAUGUUUUCAUUAAUCAAGAACGAAAGUUAGGGGAUCGAAGACGAUCAGAUACCGUCGUAGUCUUAACCAUAAACUAUGCCGACUAGGGAUCGGAUGAUGUUAAUUUUUUAAUGACUCAUUCGGCGCCUUACGGGAAACCAAAG
RNAcentral lists this ribosomal RNA (777 nucleotides) under uncultured Glomus. RNAcentral describes it as "SSU rRNA". It matches the Rfam family "Eukaryotic small subunit ribosomal RNA", at positions 325 to 1103 of the family's 1831-position model. The record is from RNAcentral. Lineage: Eukaryota; Fungi; Glomeromycota; Glomeromycetes; Glomerales; Glomeraceae.